Molecule: long non-coding RNA, 2934 nt
Organism: Nicotiana tabacum (common tobacco)
Lineage: Eukaryota; Viridiplantae; Streptophyta; Magnoliopsida; Solanales; Solanaceae
Source: RefSeq, a predicted model, not a curated record
CAUUGGCCAGGAAAAUAUACCUUUUUACCAGCAAUAGAAAAAAAUGACCACUAAAGUUCUAAUUGAAAGCGAAUGUUUCAAAUUUGUCCCUCCAUUUUUUCCCACAUCAAUCUUCCCUCCAAUUAUUUUUUAGGUCUUCUCUGUAUAUCACGAAAUUAUUUCAGAAAUAGGCUCUGUAAAGGCUAUCUUCGUUCAUGCUGCCCAACGCAUCUCUGUGUCACCAUAAUUGGCCACCAUCCUAGGUAACAUCAUCAUCUCUCUAUUCUCUCUCACCCCUCUCUAUAUACCCAUUAUCAACAACGAGGGGUAGCCUAUCCACAAAGAAUUGAGACUUGAGAGGUAUUUCUUUCAAAAAGAACUUAAACCUUUUUUGCAGUCGCGAAGCCAUUGACUUCAGGUCCCUGAUGGAGAAUGAAAUAUGUGAACUGAUAUCUUAUGUGUGAUUUUACUAUCGGUAUAUUAAAUGCUAGUCAACUAUGGCGAUUGAAAUCUGACUACUCUUCUUUGCAUAGUGGUAUUGAAUAUAUCCGGCAUUUUUGCGUUCAUGUAUGUGAUUUGAUGAUUUGCUUUCAUGGUUAUUUUACUUCCCAUACUAAUGAUGUGGGAAGUGUAUUUUGCAAUUUAGGUGUUCGAUGAAAUGCUUUUGCAGAUUUCUAACUCUUGUCUUCCAUUUUUUAAUGUUGAUUUCAGACGAUUUGUUAAUCUUUGACCGUUUCAAAUAGUCUGAUAGUGAACAUUUGUCCAUUUCCAAGUGAUUCAAAUAAGAAGGAGUUGAUAGGAGCUAGAACAUUAGCUAAAAGUAUCUCUAAAGAGAAUACGAUGACAAUUCUUGGGGUUACCAGAAGUUGAGGUAAUAGGAACAACAAUGACAAGGAGGCAUUAGAUGCUAUUGAGAAUGGUAUUUCAAUGGGUAUCUAGUUUGAUUGAGGUUUUCUGUUUCAUUUUUAUUUAUUUGUUUUCCUAUUUAAAACUUCUUCGUCAUAUGGAGUGUAUAUGUGGAUUAGAAGAUUGUUAUGGUUCAAUUUAGCACUUAUCAUAUGAUGUAUAUGAUACUCUGAUAUCAAGAAUUUGACCUUACUUAGCAAUAGGAAAAAGAAUAAUACUGAGUGCUAAGGUUAUUUGCCUCUAGCAGCUCAACCAUUAAGUUAGUAGUUCUAUUCUUGUUUAUGCCAAGAAAUUAAUAAUUGUAUAUUCCUGUAAGGCAGAGAGUCCUUUGUCUUGGUUAUUUGCUACUUGUCAUUUAUCUCAAUUUUAUGAGCAAUAAUUUCAAGAGCAAUAAACAUAUAAAAGUUAAAACAUCUUGGUUGGUUUUGCAGAAUAGUAUUGCAUUACCCUAAUUGAGAAAUGUAAUAAAGCUUUUACCUGUAGCUCUAUACGGGCUUUAGUUAACUUUUGGCAUAAAUUAUAUUUUGAAUCUUUUCUAUAUCUUCUUCGGUCUCAUUUUUGUUUUUACUUUCUUCUUUUUGGUCCUGGUUCUAACUUGAAAGUAGUUGAGAAUCAAAUCUUUUUCUUUUUUAGUUCCAAUGCCAUUAGAAAUCUUACGAGCUUAAAUUAGCUCACUCUUUUACUGUGAUAGCCAAUUGCCUCGUGAGUUCCUAUCUAUCUUAUUUAAACGGCUAGAAGCUCUCUCGGAUUCUAGGGAAGUUUUUGAAAAUAAUAUCUUGGAAAAUAUACAUGUUCUGUAUAUAAAUUAUAAUUUUCUUGUGUCACGUUUUCUGGGGUUGUGCUGCUACUAGUAGGAUAUUUAUGCAAGAAAAAGUAUUAAUAUACUCAAAUUAUUCAUUUUUUAUUUUUACUUGACCUUCAACAUUGUCCAGCCAAUAAUUUCACUAAAGAAGGGAUGCACAUCAAUUGAAGUAUGGUAAAAGAGGGAAGCCCAGAUUCUGUCCCCUCAUGGUAAAGCAUUUCAUGGAUCUCUUGUUCUUUUCACUCCUUAAGAAAAUUCUCAAAAUAAAUGGUAUCGUAUUUGGAAUAUAUAUCCAUAGAAUUAAUUGAAAAACUUGGCAUUUUCAUUGGGAAGAAGAUACAAUCAAUAUUCUUGGCAUUUUCCCAUUCAUAGUUUAUUGAAUCAAAUUUCUUGACAAAUCUUUGUAAACAUUGUACAUUAGCCAUUUAGACGUAGGACUCUACUUGUCCUUCUUUUUCUUCUACCAGUUCUAAGUUCCCUUUUGCUAGAAGUGCACUUUACAAGGAAUUGAUAAAAAUAUAAAUUCUAUACAUGUUGUCCUUGUUCCUGUAUAGGUUUUAAUAUAUUCAAAGAUAAAUGUGUUCUUUUUUGCUGUUGUUACUACAUGCAUAAAAGGACUAAAAUUUCUUUUUUGAAUUGUUAAUUGCUUUAUGACUAUUUUGUCUAUGUAGAUAUGGGCAUCAUUUGUGAUUUUCUUGCUUCUAAAUUUUGUUGGCGAGUCAUGUUUUAGCUGUGGUGAAAUCUAUUCUUAGAAGCUGUUUAGUUCUUCCUUUUUAGUCAUAAUCCAAUUCAGUCAGAGUAUAGUUCUCAAUUUUUCAUAUAAUCUGAAUCAUUUGACCCAUUUCAGAGGAGGAAGCAUUGUUCUGAGCAUCCUAAAAUUCAUAAAACUUUCUUACUCGAUGUAUAAACUGAUUUAGGUGUUGCAGUUGCUGAAAGUUUCAUUGCUCUCCAAGACUCUUUUGGGAAAUAUGAUAUUCUAAAGCUGGGGAAAACUCACGCACAAAGUGAGACAAGAAGGCCAUGUCUCAAAACUCAAAUAGCAUAAAGAAGGUUUUGUUCAGAAAUUUGGCUGUGGAAGAUUUCAAUGUCCUUGAGAGAGAAAGAAUUUUAUUGGUGCCACUUAUUGUCUAAUAUUUCAAUUAUUUGAUAACAGUUAUUAGAUGCACAAUUACACUAGUAUUGGAUUCAUAGUUUACUUUGUAUUUUUAUUUUGUUAUUGAUAUAAUUGAUAUUAUGGAUUAUAUGUU